GGCGAUGUGGUGGAAUUGGUAGACACGCUACUUUGAGGUGGUAGUGCCGCAAGGUAUGGGAGUUCGAAUCUCCCCAUCGUCA
This 82-nucleotide transfer RNA is filed under the name Sandaracinomonas limnophila. It matches the Rfam family "tRNA". From Rfam's summary of the family: Transfer RNA (tRNA) molecules are approximately 80 nucleotides in length. Their secondary structure includes four short double-helical elements and three loops (D, anti-codon, and T loops). Lineage: Bacteria; Pseudomonadati; Bacteroidota; Cytophagia; Cytophagales; Flectobacillaceae. The record is from Rfam by way of RNAcentral.